RNAcentral lists this ribosomal RNA (253 nucleotides) under uncultured bacterium. Its description in RNAcentral is "partial 16S ribosomal RNA". It matches the Rfam family "Bacterial small subunit ribosomal RNA", at positions 524 to 776 of the family's 1533-position model. The record is from RNAcentral.
UACAGAGGUCUCAAGCGUUGUUCGGAUUCAUUGGGCGUAAAGGGUGCGUAGGUGGCGCUGUAAGUCAGGUGUGAAAUUUCGAGGCUUAACCUCGAAACUGCAUUUGAUACUGCGGUGCUUGAGGACUGGAGAGGAGACUGGAAUUUACGGUGUAGCAGUGAAAUGCGUAGAGAUCGUAAGGAAGACCAGUGGCGAAGGCGGGUCUCUGGACAGUUCCUGACGCUGAGGCACGAAGGUCAGGGGAGCAAACGGG